This 69-nucleotide transfer RNA is filed under the name Orussus occidentalis. Its description in RNAcentral is "tRNA-Glu". Lineage: Eukaryota; Metazoa; Arthropoda; Insecta; Hymenoptera; Orussidae. The record is from RNAcentral.
AUUUAUAUAGUUUAUUAAAACAUUUCAUUUUCAAUGAAAAAAUAAUUAUAUUCAUUAAUAAUUUAUAAA